UUAAACCUUCAACACCACCAACCUGCAAAACCAGCAAAGCUCCAAACAGUGACCUGAUCAGAACUCCGCCUUCAGGACACCUCCGGGCGGCGCACCGGUUGGGUUCGAUCCGUCUUCUGGUUGCCGACGUGCCUCUAGCCUCAGUUGGUCCGAUUGGUGGGUGUGGAGAGAGAAUCGAACGCCGAGGUCUCCGACGGUUUCUCUACAAAUUCUGGUGGCUCCGGCGAUGUUUUGAAGUGCAUGAGGUAUUUCAGCCACCGUCGGGUACACCGUCUAUGGUGGUGGUUUUGGGUUGACGACGGUGGUACUUGAAGGAGUCAAUUAAUGACUCAGAACCUCGCACUGCUGAGGGCUCAAUUUCGGGAUCCUUUCUAAGGUUUUCCAUCACGCAGUCUGCAUGGGAGCUGUGUUUGGUUGGGUGGAGAGUAACGGCGCUGCUAUAGGGGUGUGGGAAUGAAGUAAUAGAU
RNAcentral lists this long non-coding RNA (467 nucleotides) under Rosa chinensis. RNAcentral's name for it is "sRNA RchiOBHm_Chr3g0461271". Lineage: Eukaryota; Viridiplantae; Streptophyta; Magnoliopsida; Rosales; Rosaceae. The record is from RNAcentral.